ACUAAGCGUACACGGUGGAUGCCCUGGCAGUCAGAGGCGAUGAAGGACGUGCUAAUCUGCGAUAAGCGUCGGUAAGGUGAUAUGAACCGUUAUAACCGGCGAUUUCCGAAUGGGGAAACCCAGUGUGUUUCGACACACUAUCAUUAACUGAAUCCAUAGGUUAAUGAGGCGAACCGGGGGAACUGAAACAUCUAAGUACCCCGAGGAAAAGAAAUCAACCGAGAUUCCCCCAGUAGCGGCGAGCGAACGGGGAGCAGCCCAGAGCCUGAAUCAGUGUGUGUGUUAGUGGAAGCGUCUGGAAAGGCGCGCGAUACAGGGUGACAGCCCCGUACACAAAAAUGCACAUGCUGUGAGCUCGAUGAGUAGGGCGGGACACGUGGUAUCCUGUCUGAAUAUGGGGGGACCAUCCUCCAAGGCUAAAUACUCCUGACUGACCGAUAGUGAACCAGUACCGUGAGGGAAAGGCGAAAAGAACCCCGGCGAGGGGAGUGAAAAAGAACCUGAAACCGUGUACGUACAAGCAGUGGGAGCACGCUUAGGCGUGUGACUGCGUACCUUUUGUAUAAUGGGUCAGCGACUUAUAUUCUGUAGCAAGGUUAACCGAAUAGGGGAGCCGAAGGGAAACCGAGUCUUAACUGGGCGUUAAGUUGCAGGGUAUAGACCCGAAACCCGGUGAUCUAGCCAUGGGCAGGUUGAAGGUUGGGUAACACUAACUGGAGGACCGAACCGACUAAUGUUGAAAAAUUAGCGGAUGACUUGUGGCUGGGGGUGAAAGGCCAAUCAAACCGGGAGAUAGCUGGUUCUCCCCGAAAGCUAUUUAGGUAGCGCCUCGUGAAUUCAUCUCCGGGGGUAGAGCACUGUUUCGGCAAGGGGGUCAUCCCGACUUACCAACCCGAUGCAAACUGCGAAUACCGGAGAAUGUUAUCACGGGAGACACACGGCGGGUGCUAACGUCCGUCGUGAAGAGGGAAACAACCCAGACCGCCAGCUAAGGUCCCAAAGUCAUGGUUAAGUGGGAAACGAUGUGGGAAGGCCCAGACAGCCAGGAUGUUGGCUUAGAAGCAGCCAUCAUUUAAAGAAAGCGUAAUAGCUCACUGGUCGAGUCGGCCUGCGCGGAAGAUGUAACGGGGCUAAACCAUGCACCGAAGCUGCGGCAGCGACGCUUAUGCGUUGUUGGGUAGGGGAGCGUUCUGUAAGCCUGCGAAGGUGUGCUGUGAGGCAUGCUGGAGGUAUCAGAAGUGCGAAUGCUGACAUAAGUAACGAUAAAGCGGGUGAAAAGCCCGCUCGCCGGAAGACCAAGGGUUCCUGUCCAACGUUAAUCGGGGCAGGGUGAGUCGACCCCUAAGGCGAGGCCGAAAGGCGUAGUCGAUGGGAAACAGGUUAAUAUUCCUGUACUUGGUGUUACUGCGAAGGGGGGACGGAGAAGGCUAUGUUGGCCGGGCGACGGUUGUCCCGGUUUAAGCGUGUAGGCUGGUUUUCCAGGCAAAUCCGGAAAAUCAAGGCUGAGGCGUGAUGACGAGGCACUACGGUGCUGAAGCAACAAAUGCCCUGCUUCCAGGAAAAGCCUCUAAGCAUCAGGUAACAUCAAAUCGUACCCCAAACCGACACAGGUGGUCAGGUAGAGAAUACCAAGGCGCUUGAGAGAACUCGGGUGAAGGAACUAGGCAAAAUGGUGCCGUAACUUCGGGAGAAGGCACGCUGAUAUGUAGGUGAAGUCCCUCGCGGAUGGAGCUGAAAUCAGUCGAAGAUACCAGCUGGCUGCAACUGUUUAUUAAAAACACAGCACUGUGCAAACACGAAAGUGGACGUAUACGGUGUGACGCCUGCCCGGUGCCGGAAGGUUAAUUGAUGGGGUUAGCCGCAAGGCGAAGCUCUUGAUCGAAGCCCCGGUAAACGGCGGCCGUAACUAUAACGGUCCUAAGGUAGCGAAAUUCCUUGUCGGGUAAGUUCCGACCUGCACGAAUGGCGUAAUGAUGGCCAGGCUGUCUCCACCCGAGACUCAGUGAAAUUGAACUCGCUGUGAAGAUGCAGUGUACCCGCGGCAAGACGGAAAGACCCCGUGAACCUUUACUAUAGCUUGACACUGAACAUUGAGCCUUGAUGUGUAGGAUAGGUGGGAGGCUUAGAAGUGUGGACGCCAGUCUGCAUGGAGCCGACCUUGAAAUACCACCCUUUAAUGUUUGAUGUUCUAACGUGGACCCGUAAUCCGGGUUGCGGACAGUGUCUGGUGGGUAGUUUGACUGGGGCGGUCUCCUCCUAAAGAGUAACGGAGGAGCACGAAGGUUGGCUAAUCCUGGUCGGACAUCAGGAGGUUAGUGCAAUGGCAUAAGCCAGCUUGACUGCGAGCGUGACGGCGCGAGCAGGUGCGAAAGCAGGUCAUAGUGAUCCGGUGGUUCUGAAUGGAAGGGCCAUCGCUCAACGGAUAAAAGGUACUCCGGGGAUAACAGGCUGAUACCGCCCAAGAGUUCAUAUCGACGGCGGUGUUUGGCACCUCGAUGUCGGCUCAUCACAUCCUGGGGCUGAAGUAGGUCCCAAGGGUAUGGCUGUUCGCCAUUUAAAGUGGUACGCGAGCUGGGUUUAGAACGUCGUGAGACAGUUCGGUCCCUAUCUGCCGUGGGCGCUGGAGAACUGAGGGGGGCUGCUCCUAGUACGAGAGGACCGGAGUGGACGCAUCACUGGUGUUCGGGUUGUCAUGCCAAUGGCACUGCCCGGUAGCUAAAUGCGGAAGAGAUAAGUGCUGAAAGCAUCUAAGCACGAAACUUGCCCCGAGAUGAGUUCUCCCUGACCCUUUAAGGGUCCUGAAGGAACGUUGAAGACGACGACGUUGAUAGGCCGGGUGUGUAAGCGCAGCGAUGCGUUGAGCUAACCGGUACUAAUGAACCGUGAGGCUUAACC
RNAcentral lists this ribosomal RNA (2895 nucleotides) under Escherichia coli. RNAcentral describes it as "bacterial LSU rRNA". It matches the Rfam family "Bacterial large subunit ribosomal RNA". Lineage: Bacteria; Pseudomonadati; Pseudomonadota; Gammaproteobacteria; Enterobacterales; Enterobacteriaceae. The record is from RNAcentral.